GACGAACGCUGGCAGCGUGCUUAACACAUGCAAGUCGUUCGGUAAGGCCUCUUCGGGGAGGCACGACUGGCCAACGGGGGAGUAACACGUUGGUGAACUGCCCUGCCAGUCGGGGUAAACCUAGGAAACUGGCUCUAAUACCGGGUAAGACCACGCGCCGCAUGUGUUGUGGGGGAAGACUUUUGCGGUGUGGGAUGGGCCCGCGGCCUAUCAGGUUGUUGGUGGGGGGAUGGCCUACCAAGGCGGCGACUGGGAGGCGGCCUGAGAGGGUGUCAGGCCACACUGGGAGUGAGAGACGGCCCAGACACCUCCGGGAGGCAGCAGUGUGGAAUAUUGCAGAAUGGGCGCAAGCCUCAUGCAGCGACGUCGCGUGGGGGAUGACGGCCUUCGGGUUGUAAACCGUGUUCAGUACCGAGGAAGCGAAAGUGACGGUAGGUACAGAAGAAGCGACGGCCAACUACGUG
RNAcentral lists this ribosomal RNA (464 nucleotides) under uncultured bacterium. RNAcentral describes it as "partial 16S ribosomal RNA". It matches the Rfam family "Bacterial small subunit ribosomal RNA", at positions 28 to 507 of the family's 1533-position model. The record is from RNAcentral.